GUCCACAGCUGUAAACGAUGUGCACUAGGUGUGGGGUCGUUGACCCUUCCCGUGCCGUAGCUAACGCGAUAAGUGCACCGCCUGGGGAGUACGGUCGCAAGAUUAAAACUCAAAGGAAUUGACGGGGCCCGCACAAGCGGUGGAGUAUGUGGUUUAAUUCGACGCAACGCGCAGAACCUUACCUGGACUUGACAUCCCGAGAAUCUCUAUGAAAGUAGAGAGUGCCUCUUUACGGAGGAACUUGGAGACAGGUGCUGCAUGGCUGUCGU
Molecule: ribosomal RNA, 269 nt
Filed under: uncultured bacterium
Lineage: Bacteria
Description: partial 16S ribosomal RNA
Rfam family: Bacterial small subunit ribosomal RNA
Source: RNAcentral